CAAUAGCGUAUAUUAAAGUUGUUGCAGUUAAAAAGCUCGUAGUUGGAUUUCUGUGAGAGUGCCGGUGUCGGCUGAUGCUUGUACGCAGGCGCUCUUACAUCCUUCUGUUAACUGUUCUUGGCAUUUUAUUGCUGGUUCAGGGCUCAGAUAUUUUACCUUGAGAAAAUUAGAGUGUUUCAGGCAGGCUUAUGCCGGAAUACAUUAGCAUGGAAUAAUGGAACAGGACCUGUGCGUCUUCUGUUGGUCAUGAGGCUCGAGUAAUGAUUAAUAGGGAUAGUUGGGGGCAUUAGUACUUAACUGUCAGAGGUGAAAUUCUCGGAUUUGUUAAAGACUAACUUAUGCGAAAGCAUUUGCCAAGGAUGUUUUCAUUAA
This 372-nucleotide ribosomal RNA is filed under the name uncultured eukaryote. RNAcentral describes it as "partial 18S ribosomal RNA". It matches the Rfam family "Eukaryotic small subunit ribosomal RNA", at positions 592 to 976 of the family's 1831-position model. The record is from RNAcentral.